GACGAACGCUGGCGGCGUGCUUAACACAUGCAAGUCGAACGGAAAGGCCCUGCUUUUGUGGGGUGCUCGAGUGGCGAACGGGUGAGUAACACGUGAGUAACCUGCCCUUGACUUUGGGAUAACUUCAGGAAACUGGGGCUAAUACCGGAUAGGAGCUCCUGCUGCAUGGUGGGGGUUGGAAAGUUUCGGCGGUUGGGGAUGGACUCGCGGCUUAUCAGCUUGUUGGUGGGGUAGUGGCUUACCAAGGCUUUGACGGGUAGCCGGCCUGAGAGGGUGACCGGCCACAUUGGGACUGAGGUACGGCCCAGACUCCUACGGGAGGCAGCAGUGGGGAAUAUAGCACAAUGGGCGGAAGCCUGAUGCAGCAACGCCGCGUGCGGGAUGACGGCCUUCGGGUUGUAAACCGCUUUCGCCUGUGACGAAGCGUGAGUGACGGUAAUGGGUAAAGAAGCACCGGCUAACUACGUG
RNAcentral lists this ribosomal RNA (468 nucleotides) under uncultured bacterium. RNAcentral's name for it is "partial 16S ribosomal RNA". It matches the Rfam family "Bacterial small subunit ribosomal RNA", at positions 28 to 507 of the family's 1533-position model. The record is from RNAcentral.